Molecule: long non-coding RNA, 1255 nt
Organism: Rhincodon typus (whale shark)
Lineage: Eukaryota; Metazoa; Chordata; Chondrichthyes; Orectolobiformes; Rhincodontidae
Exons: 2
Source: RefSeq, a predicted model, not a curated record
UUCCUGUGCUGUACAGUUUUAUGUUCUAUGGAGGUCAUUUGGAGCAAGCGGUGAGCUAAAGUCACCAGGUACCCUCUCUGACUUCCAUGUCAAAACUUCUCGGCAUCUAAUUUGCCCGUGGUUUGUAUUAGGAUGGGAAACUGCACUUCAACUGAUGAGGAGAGAUGUGCAGUUAAUAAGGUUGCUAACAAGCAAUAAUCUCCCUUGAAAGGCGACUCACUGCUGCCUAGCAAGAAGCUCACCUCAACACCUGGGAACUUAGUUAAAAGAUGCAAUGAGUUGCUCCCAAGAUUGAAAUAAGUCUCGCUGGACAUCUUGUGUAAUUCUGCCACAUUUCUCACCAUAGUCCAGGUCAUUCAGACUCCUGUAAGAUUCCGCCUGUAGCAUUUUCCCCAUACAAACAGGCCAUUAAGCCCAACUGGUCCAUGCCAGUGUUUAUGUGUCACAUGAACUCCCUCCUAGCCACAUUCCUCUCACUCUAUCAGCAUAGCUUUCCUUUUUGGGUGAUGUUAGGGUGCCUUCUUAAACUGCUGCAGUCCAUCUGGUGUAGGUAAUGCCAUAGUGCUGUUUGGAAGGGAAUUCCUUUUCAUGCACUUAACUUCCCUUAACUGCAUCAAUAUUACAUUUUAUAACGCCACUAAUCAGAUGUUAUCUGGAUUAAAUAGGAUAGUAACUAGCAAACAUUAUCAUCGUUGGUUAAAAUAGUGUGUCUUUAACAAAGAGGAAAGAAAUGCUGGAAAUCUGAAACAAAGACAGAACAUGCUUGUGAAAGAAAACUGGUUCUUCAGCAUCUGAAAGAGAGAGAGGAAUUCAUGUUCAAGGGAGAUAUUCUACACCAAAUGGGAGCAACAUAUUGGAACAAAGGGAGAAAUACUUGCAGAAGAACUGGCAAAAAAAUCGAGGCAAGAAGAUAGAAUAUAAAUAUUGCAGCGAACACCACACAAGAGAAAAAGAAGCAUGUCCAAUGUGGAGAAAAUGGUACUCUAAAUGCAAGAAGCUGAAUCAUGCAAGUAUUUAGCUAGAACAAAGCAAAGCAAGGCUACAAAUACAACUGCUGGGAGAUGUCAGCUGAUGAUUCUGACUUCUCAUUAUACAGGUUGACAUCAUUGGGAGAUGCUUGGAGAAAUACAUUUGUACAGAAUGUACUGGCAGGUUUGCUGUAGUUAUGUGACCGCUACCUUUGUUGUAACUUGCUUUCACUUUAGAAUGAAUAGCCAUUAAAACACAUUACUUAAAACAAUUACAGUACAUCAGA